GACGAGGGGUCCUAGCGUUGUUCGGAAUCACUGGGCGUAAAGCGUAUGUAGGCGGGCUUUUAAGUCGGGUGUGAAAUCCCACGGCUCAACCGUGGAAUUGCAUUCGAAACUGGAAGUCUUGAGUGUGGGAGAGAUUGGUAGAAUACCUAGUGUAGUGGUGAAAUAUGUAGAUAUUAGGUGGAAUAUCGGUGGUGAAGGUGGUUAAUUGGCUUAAUACUGAUGUUGAGAUACGAAAGCGUGGGGAUCAAACAGG
This 253-nucleotide ribosomal RNA is filed under the name uncultured bacterium. RNAcentral's name for it is "partial 16S ribosomal RNA". It matches the Rfam family "Bacterial small subunit ribosomal RNA", at positions 524 to 776 of the family's 1533-position model. The record is from RNAcentral.